RNAcentral lists this non-coding RNA (45 nucleotides) under Schistosoma margrebowiei. Lineage: Eukaryota; Metazoa; Platyhelminthes; Trematoda; Strigeidida; Schistosomatidae. The record is from RNAcentral.
AUCCAGCUGACGAGUACCAAAUAGAACGAAACAUGCGUCCUGGAU